Molecule: ribosomal RNA, 407 nt
Filed under: uncultured bacterium
Lineage: Bacteria
Description: partial 16S ribosomal RNA
Rfam family: Bacterial small subunit ribosomal RNA
Source: RNAcentral
AUUGAACGCUGGCGGCAGGCCUAACACAUGCAAGUCGAGCGGGGCGGCGGACGGACGAGUAAUGCCUAGGAAUCUGCCUGGUCGAGGGGGAUGGGGUCCUGAAACGGGCGGUAAUACCGCAUACUAUCAGAUGAGACUAGUCCGGAUUAGCUAGUUGGUGGGGUAAAGGCUUACCAAGGCGACGAUCCGUAACUGGUCUGAGAGGAUGAUCAGUCACACUGGAACUGAGACACGGUCCAGACUCCUACGGGAGGCAGCAGUGGGGAAUAUUGGACAAUGGGCGAAAGCCUGAUCCAGCCAUGCCGCGUGUGUGAAGAAGGUCUUCGGAUUGUAAAGCACUUUAAGUUGGGAGGCGUUACCAACAGAAUAAGCACCGGCUAACUUCGUGCCAGCCGCCGCGGUAAUAC